GACGGAGGAUGCAAGCGUUAUCCGGAAUGAUUGGGCGUAAAGCGUCCGCAGGUGGCAGUUCAAGUCUGCUGUCAAAGACCGGGGCUUAACUUCGGAAAGGCAGUGGAAACUGAACAGCUAGAGUAUGGUAGGGGCAGAGGGAAUUCCUGGUGUAGCGGUGAAAUGCGUAGAUAUCUGGAGGAACACCGGUGGCGAAGGCGGCAUCCUGGACCAACACUGACGCUGAGGAGCGAAAGCCAGGGGAGCAAACGGG
Molecule: ribosomal RNA, 253 nt
Filed under: uncultured bacterium
Lineage: Bacteria
Description: partial 16S ribosomal RNA
Rfam family: Bacterial small subunit ribosomal RNA
Source: RNAcentral